GAUGAACGCUGGUGGCGUGCCUAACACAUGCAAGUCGAGCGAUUCUCUUCGGAGAAGAGCGGCGGACGGGUGAGUAACGCGUGGGUAACCUGCCCUGUACACACGGAUAACAUACCGAAAGGUAUGCUAAUACGAGAUAACAUGCUUUUAUCGCAUGGUAGAAGUAUCAAAGCUUUUGCGGUACAGGAUGGACCCGCGUCUGAUUAGCUAGUUGGUGAGGAAACGGCUCACCAAGGCGACGAUCAGUAGCCGACCUGAGAGGGUGAUCGGCCACAUUGGAACUGAGACACGGUCCAAACUCCUACGGGAGGCAGCAGUGGGGAAUAUUGCACAAUGGGCGAAAGCCUGAUGCAGCAACGCCGCGUGAGCGAUGAAGGCCUUCGGGUCGUAAAGCUCUGUCCUCAAGGAAGAUAAUGACGGUACUUGAGGAGGAAGCCCCGGCUAACUACGUG
RNAcentral lists this ribosomal RNA (452 nucleotides) under uncultured bacterium. Its description in RNAcentral is "partial 16S ribosomal RNA". It matches the Rfam family "Bacterial small subunit ribosomal RNA", at positions 28 to 507 of the family's 1533-position model. The record is from RNAcentral.